Molecule: ribosomal RNA, 253 nt
Filed under: uncultured bacterium
Lineage: Bacteria
Description: partial 16S ribosomal RNA
Rfam family: Bacterial small subunit ribosomal RNA
Source: RNAcentral
UACGUAGGGGGCAAGCGUUAUCCGGAUUUACUGGUUGUAAAGGGAGCGUAGACGGUUAUGCAAGUCUGAAGUGAAAGCCCAAGGCUCAACCAUGGGACUGCUUUGGAAACUGUAAAACUGGAGUGCAGGAGAGGUAAGCGGAAUUCCUAGUGUAGCGGUGAAAUGCGUAGAUAUUAGGAGGAACACCAGUGGCGAAGGCGGCUUACUGGACUGUAACUGACGUUGAGGCUCGAAGGCGUGGGGAGCAAACAGG